AUGUGGAAGAAAUGACUUGGGAGGCCGAGGAAAAUAUGAAGUCUAGAUAUCCCUACUUAUUUCCUCCUCCAGAAAAUGUUCCGACAUAGACACCAUAAUCAUAAGGUACGUGUACAAAUUAUUUUAUUGGUUAUUGUCGUUGGCCAUGUGAGGCCAUUGUCGUUUUUGAUAAUUGGUGCGGCGUUGGAUUAUUAAGCUUCUACAGGGAGAGUUGGUAGUGGUGAUGUUACAAGACAACCCUACCAAAGUUAUAUAGAUCACAGGGAGUUGAACACUUGAGGACAACUGUUUCUAAG
RNAcentral lists this long non-coding RNA (296 nucleotides) under Nicotiana benthamiana. RNAcentral's name for it is "long non-coding RNA (NBEN_LNC026695)". Lineage: Eukaryota; Viridiplantae; Streptophyta; Magnoliopsida; Solanales; Solanaceae. The record is from RNAcentral.